GACGAACGCUGGCGGCGUGCUUAACGCAUGCAAGUCGAACGGAAAGGCCCUGCUUUUGUGGGGUGCUCGAGUGGCGAACGGGUGAGUAACACGUGAGUAACCUGCCCUUGACUUUGGGAUAACUUCAGGAAACUGGGGCUAAUACCGGGUAGGAGCUCCUGCUGCAUGGUGGGGGUUGGAAAGUUUCGGCGGUUGGGGAUGGACUCGCGGCUUAUCAGCUUGUUGGUGGGGUAGUGGCUUACCAAGGCUUUGACGGGUAGCCGGCCUGAGAGGGUGACCGGCCACAUUGGGACUGAGAUACGGCCCAGACUCCUACGGGAGGCAGCAGUGGGGAAUAUUGCACAAUGGGCGGAAGCCUGAUGCAGCAACGCCGCGUGCGGGAUGACGGCCUUCGGGUUGUAAACCGCUUUCGCCUGUGACGAAGCGUGAGUGACGGUAAUGGGUAAAGAAGCACCGGCUAACUACGUG
RNAcentral lists this ribosomal RNA (468 nucleotides) under uncultured bacterium. RNAcentral's name for it is "partial 16S ribosomal RNA". It matches the Rfam family "Bacterial small subunit ribosomal RNA", at positions 28 to 507 of the family's 1533-position model. The record is from RNAcentral.